RNAcentral lists this long non-coding RNA (215 nucleotides) under Elaeis guineensis (African oil palm). Its description in RNAcentral is "long non-coding RNA (EGUI_LNC002757)". Lineage: Eukaryota; Viridiplantae; Streptophyta; Magnoliopsida; Arecales; Arecaceae. The record is from RNAcentral.
UGUCUUGAACAGAGAGCUUCUUUAUUUGGUUACCAGAUUUUGCAAUAACAAGAUUUGGUCCUUCCUGCAAGGUCAUUUAAAAUACCAAGAUAUUAAAUAUAUGAAUAAAUAAACACAAUCUGAAUCUCUUCACUUUUAAUACCCGGGUAAAUGAAAUAGCAAAUGAUUAGCAAACAGACAUAAGUAUCAGAAAAAUAAGCACUGAUAGAAUGAUA